AACAACUUAUAAAAGAAUACUCAGUGAUUUGGUUAUAUUUGUACACAUAUACAACAUUGAAAUGUGAACUAUCACCUACCUCUAAAACUCAUCAUUCCACUCAUUCCCCACAUUUUUCAUUUUCCACUACUUGUUCAAACAUAUCUGAAACUAAAUCAUCAAUUAAUUACAUUAAAUCAAUUUCACCAAAGAUUGUAUCCAACCAUGCAGGUGCGUUACAUCAUAACUUCUCCAGUUUUAAUCAAAAGAAUAUAAUAAAUUAUCUUCAUUCUCGAAAUGUUUCUUAUAACUUUAUCCACAAUUGCUCUCACCCUCAAAAGAUCCGAGGAAUCAAAAUUUCAUUUUUUUACCAUUUUUGUUUCAUUCUUAUAA
Molecule: long non-coding RNA, 372 nt
Filed under: Lathyrus oleraceus (garden pea)
Lineage: Eukaryota; Viridiplantae; Streptophyta; Magnoliopsida; Fabales; Fabaceae
Description: Pisum sativum (pea) long non-coding RNA (PSAT_LNC016735)
Source: RNAcentral